AGCUUCCGCAACGGAAAGUGUGAGUUUUUCAGGAAUUGUUCAAAUGGAUGAAGAUACACAUUACGAUAAAGUGGAAGAUGUGGUUGGAAGUCACAUAGAAGAUGCAGUAACAUUUUGGGCCCAGAGUAUCAAUAGAAAUAAGGAUAUCAUGAAGAUUGGUUGCUCACUGUCUGAAGUUUGCCCCCAGGCCAGUUCAGUUUUGGGGAAUCUUGACCCGAACAAGAUUUAUGGUGGAUUAUUUUCUGAAGAUCAGUGUUGGUACAGAUGCAAAGUACUGAAAAUCAUCAGCGUUGAAAAGGCAGGAAAUUAAGUGUUCAGUUUUUUUUUUGCUUUAAGAAAUAUUUAUUGUGGUUCAAAAAUUUGAUGCUUAUUUAGCCCUUCAUUGCUUAUUCAUAGUACUGAUACCUGGUUCAGUGAUUAAAACACAGAAGAAAUUAAUUGCUAAAAAACAUGUUGUUUUAUAAUCACUUCAGAUUAUUCAAGAAUCGAUUAUAUAAUAUGUAGGUUAUUUUUGGUGACUAGUUCUUUUUACCUCAGUUCUUUUUUUUUUUUUUUUGAGAUGGAGUCUUUCUGUGUCGUCCAGGCU
RNAcentral lists this small RNA (586 nucleotides) under Pan troglodytes (chimpanzee). RNAcentral's name for it is "retained intron". The record is from RNAcentral. Lineage: Eukaryota; Metazoa; Chordata; Mammalia; Primates; Hominidae.